This 472-nucleotide ribosomal RNA is filed under the name uncultured organism. RNAcentral's name for it is "partial 16S ribosomal RNA". It matches the Rfam family "Bacterial small subunit ribosomal RNA", at positions 334 to 797 of the family's 1533-position model. The record is from RNAcentral.
CACUCCUACGGGAGGCAGCAGUGGGGAAUUUUGGACCAUGGGCGAAAGCCUGAUCCAGCAAUGCCGCGUGAGUGAAGAAGGCCUUCGGGUUGUAAAGCUCUUUUGUCAGGGAAGAAACGGUGAAAGCUAAUAUCUUUUGCUAAUGACGGUACCUGAAGAAUAAGCACCGGCUAACUACGUGCCAGCAGCCGCGGUAAUACGUAGGGUGCAAGCGUUAAUCGGAAUUACUGGGCGUAAAGCGUGCGCAGGCGGUUUUGUAAGUCUGAUGUGAAAUCCCCGGGCUCAACCUGGGAAUUGCAUUGGAGACUGCAAGGCUAGAAUCUGGCAGAGGGGGGUAGAAUUCCACGUGUAGCAGUGAAAUGCGUAGAUAUGUGGAGGAACACCGAUGGCGAAGGCAGCCCCCUGGGUCAAGAUUGACGCUCAUGCACGAAAGCGUGGGGAGCAAACAGGAUUAGAUACCCCUGUAGUCCCA